Molecule: ribosomal RNA, 484 nt
Filed under: uncultured bacterium
Lineage: Bacteria
Description: partial 16S ribosomal RNA
Rfam family: Bacterial small subunit ribosomal RNA
Source: RNAcentral
GACGAACGCUGGCGGCGUGCUUAACACAUGCAAGUCGAACGAUGAAGCCGGAGCUUGCUCUGGCGAAUUAGUGGCGAACGGGUGAGUAACACGUGAGUAACCUGCCCUUGACUCUGGGAUAACUGCUAGAAAUGGUAGCUAAUACCGGAUACGACCCUCGGAGGCAUCUUCAGGGGGUGGAAAGAAUUUCGGUCAAGGAUGGACUCGCGGCCUAUCAGCUAGUUGGUGAGGUAAUGGCUAACCAAGGCGACGACGGGUAGCCGGCCUGAGAGGGUGACCGGCCACACUGGGACUGAGACACGGCCCAGACCCCUACGGGAGGCCGCAGUGGGGAAUAUUGCACAAUGGGCGCAAGCCUGAUGCAGCAACGCCGCGUGUGGGAUGACGGCCUUCGGGUUGUAAACCUCUUUUAGUAGGGAAGAAGCGAAAGUGACGGUACCUGCAGAAAAAGCACCGGCUAACUACGUGCCAGCCGCCGCGGUAA